UUUAAGCUUGUUGGUGAGGUAAUGGCUCACCAAGGCGACGACGGGUAGCCGGCCUGAGAGGGUGACCGGCCACACUGGGACUGAGACACAGCCCAGACUCCUACGGGAGGCAGCAGUGGGGAAUAUUGCACAAUGGGCGAAAGCCUGAUGCAGCGACGCCGCGUGAGGGAUGACGGCCUUCGGGUUGUAAACCUCUUUCAGUAGGGAACAAGGCCAGCAUUUUUGUUGGUUGAGGGUACUUGCAGAAGAAGCGCCGGCUAACUACGUGCCAGCAGCCGCGGUAAUACGUAGGGCGCAAGCGUUAUCCGGAAUUAUUGGGCGUAAAGAGCUCGUAGGCGGUUUGUCGCGUCUGCCGUGAAAGUCCGGGGCUCAACUCCGGAUCUGCGGUGGGUACGGGCAGACUAGAGUGAUGUAGGGGAGACUGGAAUUCCUGGUGUAGCGGUGAAGUGCGCAGAUAUCAGGAGGAACACCGAUGGCGAAGGCAGGUCUCUGGGCAUUAACUGACGCUGAGGAGCGAAAGCAUGGGGAGCGAACAGGAUUAGAUACCCUGGUAGUCCAUGCCGUAAACGUUGGGCACUAGGUGUGGGGGACAUUCCACGUU
RNAcentral lists this ribosomal RNA (601 nucleotides) under Arthrobacter psychrochitiniphilus. RNAcentral's name for it is "bacterial SSU rRNA". It matches the Rfam family "Bacterial small subunit ribosomal RNA", at positions 239 to 838 of the family's 1533-position model. The record is from RNAcentral. Lineage: Bacteria; Bacillati; Actinomycetota; Actinomycetes; Micrococcales; Micrococcaceae.